RNAcentral lists this ribosomal RNA (253 nucleotides) under uncultured bacterium. RNAcentral's name for it is "partial 16S ribosomal RNA". It matches the Rfam family "Bacterial small subunit ribosomal RNA", at positions 524 to 776 of the family's 1533-position model. The record is from RNAcentral.
UACGAAGGGGGCUAGCGUUACUCGGAAUUACUGGGCGUAAAGGGCGCGUAGGCGGCGCUCCAAGUUAGGCGUGAAAGUCCUGGGCUCAACCUGGGGACUGCGCUUGAUACGGCUAGGCUAGAGGAUGGAAGAGGGUCGCGGAAUUCCCAGUGUAGAGGUGAAAUUCGUAGAUAUUGGGAAGAACACCGGUGGCGAAGGCGGCGACCUGGUCCAUUACUGACGCUGAGGCGCGACAGCGUGGGGAGCAAACAGG